UCGUCAUCGUAGGGUUAGUCGGGUCCUAAGCCGAGUCCGAAAGGGGUAGGUGAUGGCAAAUUGGUUAAUAUUCCAAUACCAACAUUAGUGUGCGAUGGAAGGACGCUUAGGGCUAAGCAAGCUAGCGGAUGGAAGUGCUAGUCUAAGGAUGUAGGAGCUUAUAUAGGCAAAUCCGUAUAAGAAUACUCCGAGAUCUUAAAGGCUUUUUGAAGUCUUCGGAUGGAUAGAAGAAUUGCUGAUGCCGUCGAGCCAAGAAAAGUUUCUAAGUUUAGCUAAUGUUGCCCGUACCGUAAACCGACACAGGUGGGUGGGAUGAGUAUUCUAAGGCGCGUGGAAGAACUCUCUUUAAGGAACUCUGCAAAAUAGCACCGUAUCUUCGGUAUAAGGUGUGGUUCGCUUUGUAUUAGAAUUUACUUCGAAAGCAAAGAAACUUACAACAAAGAGUCCCUCCCGACUGUUUAC
RNAcentral lists this ribosomal RNA (462 nucleotides) under uncultured bacterium. RNAcentral describes it as "bacterial LSU rRNA". It matches the Rfam family "Bacterial large subunit ribosomal RNA", at positions 1366 to 1807 of the family's 2925-position model. The record is from RNAcentral.